GGGGGAAACCUUGACGCAGCAACGCCGCGUGGGUGAUGAAGGCCUUCGGGUCGUAAAGCCCUGUCAGGUGGGAAGAAACAUGUCGGUGCUAAUAUCACCGAUGUUUGACGGUACCGCCGGAGGAAGCACCGGCUAACUCCGUGCCAGCAGCCGCGGUAAUACGGAGGGUGCAAGCGUUGUUCGGAAUUACUGGGCGUAAAGCGCGUGUAGGCGGUCGGGCAAGUCAGAUGUGAAAGCCUUCCGCUCAACGGAAGAAGUGCAUUUGAAACUACCCGGCUGGAGUACGGGAGAGGAGAGUGGAAUUCCCGGUGUAGAGGUGAAAUUCGUAGAUAUCGGGAGGAACACCAGUGGCGAAGGCGGCUCUCUGGUCCGAUACUGACGCUGAGACGCGAAAGCGUGGGGAGCAAACAGGAUUAGAUACCCUGGUAGUCCACGCCGUAAACGAUGGGCACUAGGUGUAGGAGGUAUUGACCCCUUCUGUGCCGAAGUUAACGCAUUAAGUGCCCCGCCUGG
RNAcentral lists this ribosomal RNA (513 nucleotides) under uncultured bacterium. RNAcentral describes it as "bacterial SSU rRNA". It matches the Rfam family "Bacterial small subunit ribosomal RNA", at positions 373 to 876 of the family's 1533-position model. The record is from RNAcentral.